AACGAACGCUGGCGGCGUGGAUAAGACAUGCAAGUCGAGCGCUGAUUCAAGGGUAGCAAUAUUCUUGAGUCGGAGCGGCGCAAGGGUGCGUAACACGUGGGUAAUUUGCCAUGAAGUCUGGAAUAACUUGCUGAAAGGCGAGCUAAUGCCGGAUGUGAUUUUUGGGGAGCAUUCCCUGAAACUCAAAGUUGGGGACCGUAAGGCCUGACGCUUCUUGAUAAGCCCGCGGCCUAUCAGCUAGUUGGUGAGGUAACGGCUCACCAAGGCUAAGACGGGUAGCUGGUCUGAGAGGACGACCAGCCACACUGGAACUGAGACACGGUCCAGACACCUACGGGUGGCAGCAGUCGAGAAUUUUUC
This 360-nucleotide ribosomal RNA is filed under the name uncultured bacterium. RNAcentral describes it as "bacterial SSU rRNA". It matches the Rfam family "Bacterial small subunit ribosomal RNA", at positions 29 to 367 of the family's 1533-position model. The record is from RNAcentral.